GGGUUGUGAGGUUAAGCGACUAAGCGUACACGGUGGAUGCCCUGGCAGUCAGAGGCGAUGAAGGACGUGCUAAUCUGCGAAAAGCGCCGGCGAGGUGAUAUGAACCUUUGACCCGGCGAUGUCCGAAUGGGGAAACCCAGUGUGUUCCGACACACUAUCGUUAACUGAAUACAUAGGUUAACGAGGCGAACCGGGGGAACUGAAACAUCUAAGUACCCCGAGGAAAAGAAAUCAACCGAGAUUCCCCCAGUAGCGGCGAGCGAACGGGGAGCAGCCCAGAGUCUGAAUCAGCUUGUGUGUUAGUGGAAGCGUCUGGAAAGUCGCACGGUACAGGGUGACAGUCCCGUACACGAAAGCACACAGGCUGUGAACUCGAAGAGUAGGGCGGGACACGUGGUAUCCUGUCUGAAUAUGGGGGGACCAUCCUCCAAGGCUAAAUACUCCUGACUGACCGAUAGUGAACCAGUACCGUGAGGGAAAGGCGAAAAGAACCCCGGCGAGGGGAGUGAAAAAGAACCUGAAACCGUGUACGUACAAGCAGUGGGAGCCUCUUUAUGGGGUGACUGCGUACCUUUUGUAUAAUGGGUCAGCGACUUAUAUUCUGUAGCAAGGUUAACCGUAUAGGGGAGCCGAAGGGAAACCGAGUCUUAACUGGGCGUUAAGUUGCAGGGUAUAGACCCGAAACCCGGUGAUCUAGCCAUGGGCAGGUUGAAGGUUGGGUAACACUAACUGGAGGACCGAACCGACUAAUGUUGAAAAAUUAGCGGAUGACUUGUGGCUGGGGGUGAAAGGCCAAUCAAACCGGGAGAUAGCUGGUUCUCCCCGAAAGCUAUUUAGGUAGCGCCUCGUGAACUCAUCUUCGGGGGUAGAGCACUGUUUCGGCUAGGGGGCCAUCCCGGCUUACCAACCCGAUGCAAACUACGAAUACCGAAGAAUGUUAUCACGGGAGACACACGGCGGGUGCUAACGUCCGUCGUGAAGAGGGAAACAACCCAGACCGCCAGCUAAGGUCCCAAAGUCAUGGUUAAGUGGGAAACGAUGUGGGAAGGCACAGACAGCCAGGAUGUUGGCUUAGAAGCAGCCAUCAUUUAAAGAAAGCGUAAUAGCUCACUGGUCGAGUCGGCCUGCGCGGAAGAUGUAACGGGGCUAAACCAUGCACCGAAGCUGCGGCAGCGACGCUUAUGCGUUGUUGGGUAGGGGAGCGUUCUGUAAGCCGUUGAAGGUGUCCUGUGAGGGGUGCUGGAGGUAUCAGAAGUGCGAAUGCUGACAUAAGUAACGAUAAAGCGGGUGAAAAGCCCGCUCGCCGGAAGACCAAGGGUUCCUGUCCAACGUUAAUCGGGGCAGGGUGAGUCGACCCCUAAGGCGAGGCCGAAAGGCGUAGUCGAUGGGAAACAGGUUAAUAUUCCUGUACUUGGUGUUACUGCGAAGGGGGGACGGAGAAGGCUAUGUUAGCCGGGCGACGGUUGUCCCGGUUUAAGCAUGUAGGCGGAGGUUCCAGGUAAAUCCGGUUCCUUGUUAACGCUGAGGUGUGAUGACGAGGCACUACGGUGCUGAAGUAACAAAUGCCCUGCUUCCAGGAAAAGCCUCUAAGCAUCAGGUAACACGAAAUCGUACCCCAAACCGACACAGGUGGUCAGGUAGAGAAUACCAAGGCGCUUGAGAGAACUCGGGUGAAGGAACUAGGCAAAAUGGUGCCGUAACUUCGGGAGAAGGCACGCUGAUAUGUAGGUGAAGCCCCUGCGGGUGGAGCUGAAAUCAGUCGAAGAUACCAGCUGGCUGCAACUGUUUAUUAAAAACACAGCACUGUGCAAACACGAAAGUGGACGUAUACGGUGUGACGCCUGCCCGGUGCCGGAAGGUUAAUUGAUGGGGUUAGCGGUAACGCGAAGCUCUUGAUCGAAGCCCCGGUAAACGGCGGCCGUAACUAUAACGGUCCUAAGGUAGCGAAAUUCCUUGUCGGGUAAGUUCCGACCUGCACGAAUGGCGUAAUGAUGGCCAGGCUGUCUCCACCCGAGACUCAGUGAAAUUGAACUCGCUGUGAAGAUGCAGUGUACCCGCGGCAAGACGGAAAGACCCCGUGAACCUUUACUAUAGCUUGACACUGAACACUGGUCCUUGAUGUGUAGGAUAGGUGGGAGGCUUUGAAGCGUGGACGCCAGUCUGCGUGGAGCCAACCUUGAAAUACCACCCUUUAAUGGCUGGUGUUCUAACGUAGACCCGUAAUCCGGGUUGCGGACAGUGUCUGGUGGGUAGUUUGACUGGGGCGGUCUCCUCCCAAAGAGUAACGGAGGAGCACGAAGGUUAGCUAAUCCUGGUCGGACAUCAGGAGGUUAGUGCAAUGGCAUAAGCUAGCUUGACUGCGAGAGUGACGGCUCGAGCAGGUGCGAAAGCAGGUCAUAGUGAUCCGGUGGUUCUGAAUGGAAGGGCCAUCGCUCAACGGAUAAAAGGUACUCCGGGGAUAACAGGCUGAUACCGCCCAAGAGUUCAUAUCGACGGCGGUGUUUGGCACCUCGAUGUCGGCUCAUCACAUCCUGGGGCUGAAGUAGGUCCCAAGGGUAUGGCUGUUCGCCAUUUAAAGUGGUACGCGAGCUGGGUUUAGAACGUCGUGAGACAGUUCGGUCCCUAUCUGCCGUGGGCGCUGGAGAAUUGAGGGGGGCUGCUCCUAGUACGAGAGGACCGGAGUGGACGCAUCACUGGUGUUCGGGUUGUCAUGCCAAUGGCACUGCCCGGUAGCUAAAUGCGGAAGAGAUAAGUGCUGAAAGCAUCUAAGCACGAAACUUGCCCCGAGAUGAGUUCUCCCUGAGACUUUAAGUCUCCUGAAGGAACGUUGAAGACUACGACGUUGAUAGGUCGGGUGUGUAAGCGCAGCGAUGCGUUGAGCUAACCGAUACUAAUGAACCGUGAGGCUUAACCUUACAACGCCGAAGGAG
RNAcentral lists this ribosomal RNA (2930 nucleotides) under Enterobacter cloacae. RNAcentral's name for it is "bacterial LSU rRNA". It matches the Rfam family "Bacterial large subunit ribosomal RNA". The record is from RNAcentral. Lineage: Bacteria; Pseudomonadati; Pseudomonadota; Gammaproteobacteria; Enterobacterales; Enterobacteriaceae. RNAcentral also lists the same sequence under 1 other name.